This 29-nucleotide non-coding RNA is filed under the name Bombyx mori (domestic silkworm). RNAcentral also lists the same sequence under 1 other name. Lineage: Eukaryota; Metazoa; Arthropoda; Insecta; Lepidoptera; Bombycidae. The record is from RNAcentral.
UAGAUUGUUUAUAUUGAAGAACAUGCAUU